GGUGAUUGAAUCACAAGACGCUUCCAGAGGUUCAUCAGCGCUUUCCUGUGACACCUCGGAUUGUAAACUGAGAUCAGCCAGGAGAGAACCGGUGCAGAAUGUGUGCAAAGGUCAGGACAGACAUGCGCCACAGAAGCCGGCACAGACUAAUCAUCUCGCUGUGACCUCGCCAGACAGAGACCUAUACCGUCAAAGCACAGAAAUUAAAUUCCAGACAAAGCCCAGACUGGUUGAGUUACAUCAGUUCCCCGGACUUUCAGAUGGUCACCCUAUG
Molecule: long non-coding RNA, 274 nt
Organism: Bombina bombina (fire-bellied toad)
Lineage: Eukaryota; Metazoa; Chordata; Amphibia; Anura; Bombinatoridae
Exons: 3
Source: RefSeq, a predicted model, not a curated record